Molecule: long non-coding RNA, 1608 nt
Organism: Nerophis ophidion (straightnose pipefish)
Lineage: Eukaryota; Metazoa; Chordata; Actinopteri; Syngnathiformes; Syngnathidae
Exons: 4
Source: RefSeq, a predicted model, not a curated record
AAGACAUGACGAGGACCAAGCGGUUUUCGUGUCAUCCUCACCAGUUCCAGGUCCAAAUUGGCUGUCAAAAACUUGUCGGCUUAUCAACCAAGACGUCUCAUGUCCAGAGGGCAUGGGUGUGUUUUCCUGCCAGGGUUGCAUCCGGAUCAAGAAAAAACUCUGGACCCUUGGAUCUAUCAGCAAUGUUGCUGUUACGGAUCAUCUGUGAGAAAUAAGCCCUCUUUAUUCUCCAAGUGGCACUACCAGGGACUCGCAAGGGGCCAAUUCAGAAUAAAGUGGUCCGAAGACUCCCUUGCCUGUCAUCUUGAAUCUGCACCGUGAAGACAGCGGGGAUCAAAGCAGUUUUCCCUCCAACUGUCAGUCCAGUGUUACCUGCCUGGAAGAAGCCUUACCAUCUUAAGCUGUGACCAAACGGGAGUAAUGUCCCUUGGCGGAGGGAUGCCUUGAGGCUAAAAAAAAGAGCCUAAAGGCUCAUUGUAGACAAGUUCAGGAUAAGAAAGACUCAAUUAGGGAUUUGACUUUGAUGUCAUGGUGAACAACGUGGCGUUAUCCAAGUAGAAACCUAAAGAGGACUGUUAUGGGCAGGGGUGUUGACUAGGGUCAGUAAUAGAGCAUAUUCCUCUGAGCAUGAGCAUCAUAAUAAAAUCAUACAUCCAUAAAAAACAGUGUGAACAAGAAGAAAGAGUAAAGUGAAUGAGAUAUGAAACUCAGUGAGACAAAACUAAGAGCGAGCACUUAAAUCACAAGGACCUAAUGCUGACCGGGUGAUUGAUGCGUACCACCUCAAAAAGUGUACCGUCUUGCCACCACUGUGAUUUAAAUUUCUUCAUCAAAGUCCAGUGGAGAAGGUGACUGGCAGAACAAUAAACAAAAACAAGAAGACGAUGGCCUUGGUGACGGAGGGGAUUCGGAUUGCUUCUGAACAACUUAUGUUGAAUGAUGUAGUUGUGUAUUACCCUCAAAACUGUUCAUCAAACCAAGACAACGCCUAUUGCUUAAAAGACAGUGCAGAGCGACGUUUUCACCAAUAAGUCUAAACACCUUUCCUUUCUUGGGAGGAAAAGACUCAAAUGUGACUUGUAGAGGGGAAAAGAAACUUGCCAAACUGAGAUAGAUGGCAACUGUUUUCCCAUCCUGUUUGCAUUUCAAUAAAUUGCUCCUGAGCAGGAUGCUAUCUCAGUCUUACUGGUAUGCAGAGAAGCAGGGCGAUCAUCUUCAGGAACAACAACAUACCGCCCAAUUACGAACACAAUUUGUCUGACAUUAUCGCCCUUCCCCUGGCGCCGUGGGCUUGUGGCAAGAGUUAAAAAAAAAAAAAAAAAGAGUCGUGACGAGCAGACAUGCACAUUAAAACAAGAGUGAUGGCACCCCAUUUAUAAGAAUAAAGUUUCAAACGGCUGCUCUUUUUUUUCUCAGCAGGGGGUCUUUAAAAGCCAUCUGGUGGCAGUUGGGUAAGGCCGAGAGUAGACUAAAUAACUGAGAGGAAUGGACUCUUGUCGGAGGUUUGGUGCCUUCUAAACUAGCAAAACUGUUUAGGAUUAUUCAACAUUAAAGCAGCACCAGGUAAAUUCUUAACCUUCAUAAAAUAUUUUCAUAACUUUUGGAAUU